UGGAGACUUGAUAAAGACCUGGGUACAGGUCAAAACAUUGCGGUGUCCAAUAAACCUGCUUAAAUCUAUCACAGUGAGUGUCUGAGAUGUUUUCUUUAAUACUAGGGGACACAGGCACUUGGGGGCACUAGGAGUCUAGGUGACACCAGGGACACUGGGAGACCUGGAGCACUGAGACAUGGGGGACACUGGAGACUUGAUAAAGACCUGGGUAGAGGUCGACACGUUGCGUUGUCCAAUAAACCUGCUUAAAUCUAUCACAAUGAGUGCCUGAGGUUUUUUCUUUUAUAUUAGGUGACUCUGGGAGACUAGGAAACACUGAGACACUGGCACACUAUGGAAGCUGAGCGACAUGGGGACACUGGCUGGGAGACAUUGGGAAACUGGGACUGCCCCAUGUCUCCCAGGUCUCAAAGUCGCCCAGUGUCCUAUAGUGUCUCUUAGUCUGUGUCCCCAUGUCACUAGGGAACACUGUGAGACAUGGGGUGUCCCAGUGUACCCAAGUUUCUAACCGUCCUCUAGUGUCCCCUAAUGUCCCCAAGUGUCCCUAUGUGUCUUUGUCUCAGUGUUCCCCAAGUGUCCCUUUGUCUCCCAGUGUCCCCAUGUCUCCCUGCAGCCUUUCCCCUCCCAUCCCUCACUUAACUGAGCUGUAGGCUGUCUCUGCAAGCUUGGAGCUGCUGUCUGGACUGUCUGUGCUGAGCUGCUCCCCUGUGGAUCAGUUAGUAGAGAGAGGGAGAUGCUGUAA
This is a non-coding RNA of Pelobates cultripes (western spadefoot toad), 745 nucleotides long. Lineage: Eukaryota; Metazoa; Chordata; Amphibia; Anura; Pelobatidae. The record is from the annotation of a GenBank genome assembly.